Small nucleolar RNA from Tripterygium wilfordii, 106 nucleotides. Lineage: Eukaryota; Viridiplantae; Streptophyta; Magnoliopsida; Celastrales; Celastraceae. The record is from RefSeq and is a predicted model, not a curated record.
AGGCCAUGAUUGGGACAGCUCCUUAUGAAAGCUUUUAAUCUCUCCCAUGCCUCAUAGAUAGAUUCAAAUUCAAGUUGAGCAAAAGUUAUGAUGUCAUUCCUAAUUU